RNAcentral lists this ribosomal RNA (2930 nucleotides) under Salmonella enterica subsp. enterica serovar Hadar. Its description in RNAcentral is "23S ribosomal RNA". It matches the Rfam family "Bacterial large subunit ribosomal RNA". Lineage: Bacteria; Pseudomonadati; Pseudomonadota; Gammaproteobacteria; Enterobacterales; Enterobacteriaceae. The record is from RNAcentral.
GGGUUGUGAGGUUAAGCGACUAAGCGUACACGGUGGAUGCCCUGGCAGUCAGAGGCGAUGAAGGGCGUGCUAAUCUGCGAUAAGCGCCGGUAAGGUGAUAUGAACCGUUAUAACCGGCGAUACCCGAAUGGGGAAACCCAGUGUGAUUCGUCACACUAUCAUUAACUGAAUCCAUAGGUUAAUGAGGCGAACCGGGGGAACUGAAACAUCUAAGUACCCCGAGGAAAAGAAAUCAACCGAGAUUCCCCCAGUAGCGGCGAGCGAACGGGGAGGAGCCCAGAGCCUGAAUCAGCAUGUGUGUUAGUGGAAGCGUCUGGAAAGGCGCGCGAUACAGGGUGACAGCCCCGUACACAAAAGCGCAUGUGCUGUGAGCUCGAUGAGUAGGGCGGGACACGUGGUAUCCUGUCUGAAUAUGGGGGGACCAUCCUCCAAGGCUAAAUACUCCUGACUGACCGAUAGUGAACCAGUACCGUGAGGGAAAGGCGAAAAGAACCCCGGCGAGGGGAGUGAAAAAGAACCUGAAACCGUGUACGUACAAGCAGUGGGAGCACCCUUUGGGGUGUGACUGCGUACCUUUUGUAUAAUGGGUCAGCGACUUAUAUUCUGUAGCAAGGUUAACCGUAUAGGGGAGCCGGAGGGAAACCGAGUCUUAAUUGGGCGUUAAGUUGCAGGGUAUAGACCCGAAACCCGGUGAUCUAGCCAUGGGCAGGUUGAAGGUUGGGUAACACUAACUGGAGGACCGAACCGACUAAUGUUGAAAAAUUAGCGGAUGACCUGUGGCUGGGGGUGAAAGGCCAAUCAAACCGGGAGAUAGCUGGUUCUCCCCGAAAGCUAUUUAGGUAGCGCCUCGUGAAUUCAUCUCCGGGGGUAGAGCACUGUUUCGGCUAGGGGGCCAUCCCGGCUUACCAACCCGAUGCAAACUGCGAAUACCGGAGAAUGUUAUCACGGGAGACACACGGCGGGUGCUAACGUCCGUCGUGAAGAGGGAAACAACCCAGACCGCCAGCUAAGGUCCCAAAGUCAUGGUUAAGUGGGAAACGAUGUGGGAAGGCCCAGACAGCCAGGAUGUUGGCUUAGAAGCAGCCAUCAUUUAAAGAAAGCGUAAUAGCUCACUGGUCGAGUCGGCCUGCGCGGAAGAUGUAACGGGGCUAAACCAUGCACCGAAGCUGCGGCAGCGACGCUUAUGCGUUGUUGGGUAGGGGAGCGUUCUGUAAGCCUGUGAAGGUGGCCUGUGAGGGUUGCUGGAGGUAUCAGAAGUGCGAAUGCUGACAUAAGUAACGAUAAAGCGGGUGAAAAGCCCGCUCGCCGGAAGACCAAGGGUUCCUGUCCAACGUUAAUCGGGGCAGGGUGAGUCGACCCCUAAGGCGAGGCCGAAAGGCGUAGUCGAUGGGAAACGGGUUAAUAUUCCCGUACUUGGUGUUACUGCGAAGGGGGGACGGAGAAGGCUAUGUUGGCCGGGCGACGGUUGUCCCGGUUUAAGCGUGUAGGCUGGUUUUCCAGGCAAAUCCGGAAAAUCAAGGCUGAGGCGUGACGACGAGGCACUACGGUGCUGAAGCAACAAAUGCCCUGCUUCCAGGAAAAGCCUCUAAGCAUCAGGUAACAUCAAAUCGUACCCCAAACCGACACAGGUGGUCAGGUAGAGAAUACCAAGGCGCUUGAGAGAACUCGGGUGAAGGAACUAGGCAAAAUGGUGCCGUAACUUCGGGAGAAGGCACGCUGACACGUAGGUGAAGUGAUUUACUCAUGGAGCUGAAGUCAGUCGAAGAUACCAGCUGGCUGCAACUGUUUAUUAAAAACACAGCACUGUGCAAACACGAAAGUGGACGUAUACGGUGUGACGCCUGCCCGGUGCCGGAAGGUUAAUUGAUGGGGUCAGCGCAAGCGAAGCUCCUGAUCGAAGCCCCGGUAAACGGCGGCCGUAACUAUAACGGUCCUAAGGUAGCGAAAUUCCUUGUCGGGUAAGUUCCGACCUGCACGAAUGGCGUAAUGAUGGCCAGGCUGUCUCCACCCGAGACUCAGUGAAAUUGAACUCGCUGUGAAGAUGCAGUGUACCCGCGGCAAGACGGAAAGACCCCGUGAACCUUUACUAUAGCUUGACACUGAACAUUGAGCCUUGAUGUGUAGGAUAGGUGGGAGGCUUUGAAGUGUGGACGCCAGUCUGCAUGGAGCCGACCUUGAAAUACCACCCUUUAAUGUUUGAUGUUCUAACGUGGACCCGUUACCCGGGUUGCGGACAGUGUCUGGUGGGUAGUUUGACUGGGGCGGUCUCCUCCUAAAGAGUAACGGAGGAGCACGAAGGUUGGCUAAUCCUGGUCGGACAUCAGGAGGUUAGUGCAAUGGCAUAAGCCAGCUUGACUGCGAGCGUGACGGCGCGAGCAGGUGCGAAAGCAGGUCAUAGUGAUCCGGUGGUUCUGAAUGGAAGGGCCAUCGCUCAACGGAUAAAAGGUACUCCGGGGAUAACAGGCUGAUACCGCCCAAGAGUUCAUAUCGACGGCGGUGUUUGGCACCUCGAUGUCGGCUCAUCACAUCCUGGGGCUGAAGUAGGUCCCAAGGGUAUGGCUGUUCGCCAUUUAAAGUGGUACGCGAGCUGGGUUUAGAACGUCGUGAGACAGUUCGGUCCCUAUCUGCCGUGGGCGCUGGAGAACUGAGGGGGGCUGCUCCUAGUACGAGAGGACCGGAGUGGACGCAUCACUGGUGUUCGGGUUGUCAUGCCAAUGGCACUGCCCGGUAGCUAAAUGCGGAAGAGAUAAGUGCUGAAAGCAUCUAAGCACGAAACUUGCCCCGAGAUGAGUUCUCCCUGAGACUUUAGGUCUCCUGAAGGAACGUUGAAGACGACGACGUUGAUAGGCCGGGUGUGUAAGCGCAGCGAUGCGUUGAGCUAACCGGUACUAAUGAACCGUGAGGCUUAACCUUACAACGCCGAAGCUGUU